This 160-nucleotide ribosomal RNA is filed under the name uncultured bacterium. Its description in RNAcentral is "partial 16S rRNA". It matches the Rfam family "Bacterial small subunit ribosomal RNA", at positions 358 to 511 of the family's 1533-position model. The record is from RNAcentral.
GGAAUCUUCCACAAUGGGCGAAAGCCUGAUGGAGCAACGCCGCGUGUGUGAUGAAGGGUUUCGGCUCGUAAACACUGUUGUAAGAGAAGAAUGACAUUGAGAGUAACUGUUCAAUGUGUGACGGUAUCUUACCAGAAAGGGACGGCUAACUACGUGCCAG